This is a long non-coding RNA of Pistacia vera, 596 nucleotides long. RefSeq lists it as uncharacterized. The transcript has 4 exons. NCBI's taxonomy places the organism in Eukaryota, Viridiplantae, Streptophyta, Magnoliopsida, Sapindales, Anacardiaceae. The record is from RefSeq and is a predicted model, not a curated record.
UAUUGAAACCUAGUUUGAAAUUUGGAUUUCUCAAGUCAUCUUUCUCAGAUCGGUCCUUUAAAUGAUAGAACACUGAACACCUAUGCUUCAAUUUUCAAAGUGAAUCACUUCCACUUUAUCUUCCUAUUGUAGCUUUACCUUGAUCCUCGUACUUACUCACACACCAGUUAACAGAGAAGAGUGAUGCUUACAGCCUCGGAUUGUUUUUCUCGAGUUGUUGACGAGAUGAAGCCUAUUUCUCAUGGUAGAAACAUUGUCCAGCUGGUGAAUUCAGCAUGUCAAUCUGGAUGAUGUACUCCGUAAUAGACAACGGCAUGGGUCCUACUCUUCCGAAUGCCUCAGAAGAUUUAUGGCAUGCUCUCAAGUGUUGUGAGGAUGAGACAGAGCGUUGACCUUCAAUGCUGGAAGUGAUGCCAAGGUGGAGAUUUUGCCUAAUUGGGAUCAUACUUGUUCUACUUUCAUGUCACCUUCUGCAACUUGCUUCUGCACGAUUACUCAUCCGUUGGAAGUUGAUGCUUUGCAAGCUGUCCGCCGAGCACUCAAAGAUACGGGGAAAAACCUCAAUAGCUGGAAAAAGAUGACCAUGUGUAUCAAAU